Molecule: long non-coding RNA, 1822 nt
Organism: Brassica napus (rape)
Lineage: Eukaryota; Viridiplantae; Streptophyta; Magnoliopsida; Brassicales; Brassicaceae
Exons: 3
Source: RefSeq, a predicted model, not a curated record
GAAACAGUACAUGGUCAUGGCCGAUCAAGAGAAAAAGUUGGUGCAAUUGCAAUAUCAAAAUAUAAAGCAAACUACUUUAUUGUUCUAAAAGUAGAAAUUUCACAUUUAGUUAAACCUACCAGAGGACCCAUUCAUGUUCAAAAGUUAAAAGCUUUGAAAACGGAGAAAGAUUAUAUGAAAGAGUAGUGACCUUACACCAAACAGUUUCAUAUCAAAUGCUCAAGCAUGGUUUUCAAGAAAAUGACUCAGGAGAUUUGAUUUGAUCUCUCUGUUCUUCAACUGCCGCAGAUACUCAACCAUAAGAGCUUACAGAAGCUUGCGUUAUGGUAAGCCUUAUGCUACAUACCUGGAAUCCUGUAAACAUCACACUCGGGUCACAUGUCUGGGUCAAGGAUCCAUAACUUGCAUGGACUAAUCGAGAAGUGACAGAAAUCAAAGGCACUAAUGCAACAAUACUCACUGCAGAUGGGAAAACAAUUGUUGCUAGUAUCUCUAGCCUCUAUCCAAAGAAUACAGAGGCGCCACCUGCAGGAGUUGAUGACAUGACUAAACUGGCUUACCUCCAUCAGCCAGAGGUCCUCCACAAUCUUGCUUGCUGGUUAUCACUAAAUGAGAUAUAUACUUAAAAUGGAAACAUCUUGAUUGCUGUGAAUCCAUUCCAAAGACCUCCACAUUUGUAUAGCGUCCAUAUGAUGGAGCAGUAUAAAGGAGCUGCGUUUGGAGAGCUAAGCCCACAUCUGUUUGCCGGUUGCAGACACCAGUUAUAGGUAACAAGUUGUUAAUCAACGAAUAGAAAAUUACUGUAUUAGCUAACGCUUUCCAUGUAUGCCAAGGCGAUGAUAAAUGAGGCAAAGAGCAAGUCUAUUUUGGUUAGUGGAGAGAGUGGAGCUGGGAAGACGGAGACAACCAAAAAGCUCAUGAGAUAUCUUGCAUUCAUGGGAGGCAGAUAAGAUAAAUAAGAGAGAAAAGUGUUCGACAAGUUGUUCUAGAGGUGAGUAUUACCUGCUCUGUUUAUUUUUAAAUGACUAGGAGAUUUUGGGCCUGGGGCUAGGCAUAUUCCAUAUUAAGAGAACAGAGAGCUACAGGUUGCAAGAGUCAAUGGUGUCCAAAAUACUCAUGAUUCAUACGACAAACAAAGAGCUAGUCAAAUAUUCUACAUCAAAUAUUUUUAAAUAAAUCAACAUGCACAAUGAGAACGACGCUUAAGGAGACGGAGGAUGAACAUGAAUCGGUUGAGUAGCUGCACUAGUAUGCAAGGGUGUCCAAUCCCAUGCAUAGUUGGAGUGCUGUUCAAAACUAUCAGCUGCAUCACUUGGCUUCGCUAAGAAAAUGGUGUAUCCGGAGUAGUAAAGAUAAUCCAUUGAAGUUGCAAAACUUGAAUCACCUGCAUCAGGUGCAAAGUCACAAAAUGAACCAAACACGAUUCAUUGUUGUAUAGAGAAGGGGUGCAAAAAUUUUCAGUCACCUGUAAUUAAGAGUAUAUUCCAUGGUCCGGAAUCUCGGUGAACGUCAGCAUAAUGUACCAACAAUGACUCUAAACCGAGCUCAGCGGCAAGUCUUUUCUGAUCAGGCAGAAGAUGAGCAUGUUCACCGCAAAACGGAUUUCUUCUGGGAGCAUAGUAACAAUCGAAACGUUGGUCUACGAGAAGGCUCCUUUCAAUUGCAGUUAUAUCCCCACAAAGAAAUCUGUUAUUUCUGCAGAUGCGAUACUCAUGGCCAUGGGGAACCUGGCCUAAACCGCUUUCAAUGUUGGAGAUUAGAGUUCUAGCAGAGGCCUCAGACUCAAUAGGGCAUGAGCACGUGUUCCAGUCCCAAAACGUGG